This is a long non-coding RNA of Pseudophryne corroboree (corroboree frog), 904 nucleotides long. RefSeq lists it as uncharacterized. The record is from RefSeq and is a predicted model, not a curated record. The transcript is spliced from 4 exons. Lineage: Eukaryota; Metazoa; Chordata; Amphibia; Anura; Myobatrachidae.
GGUAAGUGAGUCCCGCUGCUGACAGGUAUUCCAAUGUCAGGAAGGGAGAUAAAGACAUUUUUUUUUAGCCCUAACUGAAGGAGCUUCAUCACCAGGCUUCCCGGCAAAAGCCCUGGUGCCAGAACAGGAAAUCUAUUGAUCAGCACUGCAAAUGAAUUGUGGCUCUGUACUUGCAUCCUCCUUCUCCCAAGGAGAGAACCGGUGGGCUAAUUGGUGUGUGUGGCCGCCUGUCAUCUGUGGCCCCGCCUACCCCACCCACGCGUCACUAACUUAGUGUACGUUGCCUUGUGCGCUGUGGCCGCCGGUCGCUAACAGGUGAAGAGGUCCCGCCCCCACACCACCCGGCUGUCAGGAAGAGGUCUGCAUGCCGAACUCCGCUGACGUAAUCGCGCGUACCUCGGAGGAAGAGACAGUGCGGCUGCAGUGGAUCCAGCAGGAUUGCCACAACGUAUGCGCUGGACAGGCCGGCGUGACGUCACUUCCGGCGGGACCGGGAGGAUGUGACCGGAAUCCGGGCGGCGCGAUUGGAGGCGGCGGGUGAGACCGAGUUUAAACAGGGCCUUCUGCAAGAUCUGGUGCUGUCACUGGUGUGAUCGUGAUAAAAACUGCUGGCUCUGUUUGGAAAGAACAGGAGCUUAGCACAAGGUGGAGUAGAUGUGUCCCUUGAAGACUCAAUGACCGGGGGCUUGGUGGAGUUGCACAAGGAGACGGUAGCAAUGGUGGACGCAGAACAGCACUUGAUGGGCCUACAGAAAACAGACCAUGCUUUAAUUACAUUGCAAACUUGUAUCAUGUGGUCACUAUACAUACUAAAUUGGUACAUUUAAAUUACUUGCCACCUCGUCAUCUUGAAUUCUAGUAGGCUUUGAUUUAGCUCCCUUACCACGCUUUGAAUAAAGAGAAA